Molecule: ribosomal RNA, 690 nt
Filed under: Salmonella enterica subsp. enterica serovar Heidelberg
Lineage: Bacteria; Pseudomonadati; Pseudomonadota; Gammaproteobacteria; Enterobacterales; Enterobacteriaceae
Description: partial 23S ribosomal RNA
Rfam family: Bacterial large subunit ribosomal RNA
Source: RNAcentral
UGAACUCCACAUACGCAUCCUUUGCUGAGGAUACGGUUAACGGAGCGAAAGCGACGUUCAACCGCAAAAGAAGCAGAGGGGGCUUAGUGGUGGGGUGACUGCGUACCUUUUGUAUAAUGGGUCAGCGACUUAUAUUCUGUAGCAAGGUUAACCGAAUAGGGGAGCCGGAGGGAAACCGAGUCUUAAUUGGGCGUUAAGUUGCAGGGUAUAGACCCGAAACCCGGUGAUCUAGCCAUGGGCAGGUUGAAGGUUGGGUAACACUAACUGGAGGACCGAACCGACUAAUGUUGAAAAAUUAGCGGAUGACCUGUGGCUGGGGGUGAAAGGCCAAUCAAACCGGGAGAUAGCUGGUUCUCCCCGAAAGCUAUUUAGGUAGCGCCUCGUGAAUUCAUCUCCGGGGGUAGAGCACUGUUUCGGCUAGGGGGCCAUCCCGGCUUACCAACCCGAUGCAAACUGCGAAUACCGGAGAAUGUUAUCACGGGAGACACACGGCGGGUGCUAACGUCCGUCGUGAAGAGGGAAACAACCCAGACCGCCAGCUAAGGUCCCAAAGUCAUGGUUAAGUGGGAAACGAUGUGGGAAGGCCCAGACAGCCAGGAUGUUGGCUUAGAAGCAGCCAUCAUUUAAAGAAAGCGUAAUAGCUCACUGGUCGAGUCGGCCUGCGCGGAAGAUGUAACGGGGCUAAACCAU